This 465-nucleotide ribosomal RNA is filed under the name Triticum aestivum (bread wheat). Its description in RNAcentral is "partial small subunit ribosomal RNA". The record is from RNAcentral. Lineage: Eukaryota; Viridiplantae; Streptophyta; Magnoliopsida; Poales; Poaceae.
AUGCGUAAAAAGGAGAACAUAGAUAUUGAAUGGACAUUGCAGUAUAUUGAGAAGCUACAAAUUGAUACUCCUGGUUUCUGCUACAGGAUGCAAAGAGAUACAGACAACAUGGUUCUCAGCUUGUUCUGGACAGAUGCUCGUUCCCGAUUGAACUACAGGUUGUUUGGUGAGAUCAUUUCAUUUGACACCACUUAUAGCACAAAUAAGUAUCACAUGCCUUUUGCGCCUAUAGUGGGAAUUAAUGGCCAUGGAAGAACAAUUGUGUUUGGUUGGGCGCUAUUGCAAGAUGAAACUUCAGAUACUUUUGUGUGGCUAUUUGAAACUUUCAUGGAGGUCAUGCAGUGGAAAAAAACAGGAAUAAUAUUGACUGACCAAGAUGCAGGGAUGAAAGAUGCUAUUCCUCAAGUAUUUCCAAAUGCGUUACAUAGGUUCUGUCUUUGGCAUAUAUUUAAAAAUGUGCGGGAA